RNAcentral lists this transfer RNA (120 nucleotides) under Oribacterium sp. RNAcentral describes it as "tRNA-OTHER". It matches the Rfam family "tRNA". From Rfam's summary of the family: Transfer RNA (tRNA) molecules are approximately 80 nucleotides in length. Their secondary structure includes four short double-helical elements and three loops (D, anti-codon, and T loops). The record is from RNAcentral. Lineage: Bacteria; Bacillati; Bacillota; Clostridia; Lachnospirales; Lachnospiraceae.
UGGAGCAUAACUCAAUGGUGAGAGUGGGUGCCUAACCAAACCCCGAAGGGGUGCGACAAGGACCUCGAAGAAGUCCCGAUUAUAUGCAUCUGGUUCAGGGUUCGAAUCCCUGUGCUCCAA